CAGGACUUGGACACCAAGGGCCAGAAGUCAAACAGGCAUUUUAGCUGUUUGAUCUGCAGAGACACAAUGACUAAGGACCCAUGUUUUCCUCCUGCUGCCCGAAGCAUCGUGGAUGCAGGCUCUGUGUGGAGGAGUGGAGGAUAAACAUCUCCCCAAUGCCUUAAGUGCAGGGAUCUGGGCCAGUGUAUACCCAGGUUGCUGGACUGUCUGCAGCACUGGAUGUUUAAAGGGCCCUACCCUAAAUGGACAGCAGUUCAGUCGUUUUAUUGUUAAGUUUAUUGUUUAUUGUUAGGUGGUUGUGUUUCAAAUUCCAGGUUCAUGAUAUUAUCAUAACAGAAAAUUAUUGUUGUUAGUUUUCUUUAGCUGUAUGACCUUAUUAAUUGUUCAUCUGCAAUGUUUAAUAAAUGGAAAAUUGUUUGAA
Notothenia coriiceps (black rockcod) is the source of this 421-nucleotide long non-coding RNA. RefSeq lists it as uncharacterized. The record is from RefSeq and is a predicted model, not a curated record. The transcript is spliced from 2 exons. NCBI's taxonomy places the organism in Eukaryota, Metazoa, Chordata, Actinopteri, Perciformes, Nototheniidae.